This 845-nucleotide ribosomal RNA is filed under the name Colletotrichum brevisporum. RNAcentral describes it as "LSU rRNA". It matches the Rfam family "Eukaryotic large subunit ribosomal RNA", at positions 65 to 939 of the family's 3401-position model. The record is from RNAcentral. Lineage: Eukaryota; Fungi; Ascomycota; Sordariomycetes; Glomerellales; Glomerellaceae.
CCAACAGGGAUUGCCUCAGUAACGGCGAGUGAAGCGGCAACAGCUCAAAUUUGAAAUCUGGCCCCCCGGGUCCGAGUUGUAAUUUGCAGAGGAUGCUUUUGGCGCGGUGCCUUCCGAGUUCCCUGGAACGGGACGCCAUAGAGGGUGAGAGCCCCGUACGGUUGGACACCAAGCCUAUGUAAAGCUCCUUCGACGAGUCGAGUAGUUUGGGAAUGCUGCUCAAAAUGGGAGGUAUAUUUCUUCUAAAGCUAAAUACCGGCCAGAGACCGAUAGCGCACAAGUAGAGUGAUCGAAAGAUGAAAAGCACUUUGAAAAGAGGGUUAAACAGCACGUGAAAUUGUUAAAAGGGAAGCGCUUGUGACCAGACUUGCGUCCGGUGAAUCACCCAGCUCUCGCGGCUGGGGCACUUUGCCGGCUCAGGCCAGCAUCAGCUCGCCGUCGGGGACAAAAGCUUCGGGAACGUAGCUCUCUUCGGGGAGUGUUAUAGCCCGUUGCACAAUACCCUUCGGCGGGCUGAGGUACGCGCUCCGCAAGGAUGCUGGCGUAAUGGUCAUCAGCGACCCGUCUUGAAACACGGACCAAGGAGUCAACCUUAUGUGCGAGUGUUCGGGUGUCAAACCCCUACGCGUAAUGAAAGUGAACGCAGGUGAGAGCUUCGGCGCAUCAUCGACCGAUCCUGAUGUUCUCGGAUGGAUUUGAGUAAGAGCAUAUAGGGUUGGACCCGAAAGAAGGUGAACUAUGCGUGUAUAGGGUGAAGCCAGAGGAAACUCUGGUGGAGGCUCGCAGCGGUUCUGACGUGCAAAUCGAUCGUCAAAUAUGCGCAUGGGGGCGAAAGACUAAUCGAA